UCAAGUGAUCCUCCAGCCUCAGCCUUCCAAUGUGAUGGGAUUAUAGGUAUGAGCCACUGCACCCUGCCAGGAAAGUUGUUGAAAAAGACUAGCAUGUUGGUGUGUGUUGGCAGCUCCUCAGAUCUUUCAGUAUGGGAUAUAAAGGGGUUGUAAUUGAUUGGUUGGAAAUAAUCAGUGUGCAAACAACAAUGGAAAUGGAAGAGAAUACAUCUUGGUAAUAAAAUCUCUGUCUGUCCAUGGCCUAUAAUAUAAAUUGCAUAAAUUUCUAGUAAUUUGAUAUCUUGCAAUGUUGUAAAAAUCAACUACUUUUAUACUCCAAAUAAUAGGGAAACAAUGAUCAUCUAGAGCCCUUGUCAAGGGUCUCCUAUUGAGAGUCCUUAGACAGUGUGACACAUCUCUAUGGCAAAGAUCAGAUAUAAUAUGUUACAUUUACACAAGUAACAGACUUCUGGCUCUCCUCCAACUCAGGUAUACUCUUCUGCCGAGAGACUGUACUUCUCAGCCUCCCUUGUGGCUAGGUGUGCCAUGUGACUAAGUGCUCAUGAUUGAGAUCUUCUAGGGACUGCUUGAAUUCCUUGACUCACAGUGCCUCACACCAACCUCUGGUUCUAUUGAAACUUUGUCCGGCCUCCUCCCAACCUGCCGUCUCAACCUCUAGUUUCCCUCUUAUAAGGACCUUUGUAAUUGUGAUUACAUCACACUCACCUGGAUAAUUCAGGAAAAUCUCAUCAUCUCAAGAUCCUUAACACAAUAAAAUCUGCAAAUUCCCUUUUACCAUGCAAGUUUGAGCUGAGCUUUUGCUUGCCAUCCACCACUGCUGUUUGCCGCCGUCCCAGAUCUGCCAUUGACUUCCACCCCUCCAGAUCCGGCAGUGUGUCCGCUGCACUCCUGAUCCAGCGAGGCACCCAUUGCUGCUCCUGAUCAGGCUAAAGGCUCGUCAUUGUUGCUGAACAGCUAAGUGUCCAGGGUCAUCCUAAUUGAGCUGAACACUGGUCGCUGGGUUCCAUGGUUCUCUUCCAUGACCUAUGGCUUCUAAUAGAGCUAUAACAC
This 1050-nucleotide long non-coding RNA is filed under the name Homo sapiens (human). RNAcentral's name for it is "HSALNT0325970". Lineage: Eukaryota; Metazoa; Chordata; Mammalia; Primates; Hominidae. The record is from RNAcentral.